GAUGAACGCUGGCGGCGUGCCUAAUACAUGCAAGUCGAGCGAACAGACGAGGAGCUUGCUCCUCUGACGUUAGCGGCGGACGGGUGAGUAACACGUGGAUAACCUACCUAUAAGACUGGGAUAACUUCGGGAAACCGGAUCUAAUACCGGAUAAUAUAUUGAACCGCAUGGUUCAAUAGUGAAAGACGGUUUUGCUGUCACUUAUAGAUGGAUCCGCGCCGCAUUAGCUAGUUGGUAAGGUAACGGCUUACCAAGGCUACGAUGCGUAGCCGACCUGAGAGGGUGAUCGGCCACACGGGAACUGAGACACGGUCCAGACUCCUACGGGAGGCAGCAGUAGGGAAUCUUCCGCAAAGGGCGAAAGCCUGACGGAGCAACGCCGCGUGAGUGAUGAAGGUCUUCGGAUCGUAAAACUCUGUUAUUAGGGAAGAACAAAUGUGUAAGUAACUAUGCACGUCUUGACGGUACCUAAUCAGAAAGCCACGGCUAACUACGUG
RNAcentral lists this ribosomal RNA (497 nucleotides) under uncultured bacterium. RNAcentral describes it as "partial 16S ribosomal RNA". It matches the Rfam family "Bacterial small subunit ribosomal RNA", at positions 28 to 507 of the family's 1533-position model. The record is from RNAcentral.